Molecule: ribosomal RNA, 403 nt
Filed under: uncultured organism
Description: bacterial SSU rRNA
Rfam family: Bacterial small subunit ribosomal RNA
Source: RNAcentral
UGGGGAAUAUUGGACAAUGGGCGCAAGCCUGAUCCAGCCAUGCCGCGUGAGUGAUGAAGGCCCUAGGGUUGUAAAGCUCUUUUGUGCGGGAAGAUAAUGACGGUACCGCAAGAAUAAGCCCCGGCUAACUUCGUGCCAGCAGCCGCGGUAAUACGAAGGGGGCUAGCGUUGCUCGGAAUUACUGGGCGUAAAGGGUGCGUAGGCGGGUCUUUAAGUCAGGGGUGAAAUCCUGGAGCUCAACUCCAGAACUGCCUUUGAUACUGAGGAUCUUGAGUUCGGGAGAGGUGAGUGGAACUGCGAGUGUAGAGGUGAAAUUCGUAGAUAUUCGCAAGAACACCAGUGGCGAAGGCGGCUCACUGGCCCGAUACUGACGCUGAGGCACGAAAGCGUGGGGAGCAAACAG